This 515-nucleotide ribosomal RNA is filed under the name Providencia rettgeri. Its description in RNAcentral is "partial 23S ribosomal RNA". It matches the Rfam family "Bacterial large subunit ribosomal RNA", at positions 678 to 1190 of the family's 2925-position model. Lineage: Bacteria; Pseudomonadati; Pseudomonadota; Gammaproteobacteria; Enterobacterales; Morganellaceae. The record is from RNAcentral.
CGAGUCUUAACUGGGCGAAUAAGUUGCAGGGUAUAGACCCGAAACCCGGUGAUCUAGCCAUGGGCAGGUUGAAGGUUGGGUAACACUAACUGGAGGACCGAACCGACUAAUGUUGAAAAAUUAGCGGAUGACUUGUGGCUGGGGGUGAAAGGCCAAUCAAACCGGGAGAUAGCUGGUUCUCCCCGAAAGCUAUUUAGGUAGCGCCUCGUGAACUCAUCUUCGGGGGUAGAGCACUGUUUCGACUAGGGGGUCAUCCCGACUUACCAACUCGAUGCAAACUACGAAUACCGAAGAAUGUUAUCACGGGAGACACACGGCGGGUGCUAACGUUCGUCGUGAAGAGGGAAACAACCCAGACCGCCAGCUAAGGUCCCAAAGUCAUAGUUAAGUGGGAAACGAAGUGGGAAGGCUCAGACAGCCAGGAUGUUGGCUUAGAAGCAGCCAUCAUUUAAAGAAAGCGUAAUAGCUCACUGGUCGAGUCGGCCUGCGCGGAAGAUGUAACGGGGCUAAACUAU